GCCCCCAGACUAUGUAAAAGAAUUGAGGCCGGGGGGGGGGGGGGUCUCGCCCAUAGUGGUUCCCCCCGCCUUUGGUGAUUGACCAAACAAAUAGGCCUAGAUUUAUGCCCCUUAAUGAAUCGAAUGGUCCUUCGACCUUCAUUUGAUUCCGACGGCCGGCAUAGAUUUCAUGAGACCCGCCCAGCCCACUAUUACUUCGAAAAAAGCCCUGCCCUUUUCCUUUACUACUAGGAGAGUAAGCAACCUCUAUUAGCAUAAGGGACCCAAAGAAUUUCU
This 276-nucleotide long non-coding RNA is filed under the name Gossypium barbadense (sea-island cotton). Its description in RNAcentral is "long non-coding RNA (GBAR_LNC003034)". The record is from RNAcentral. Lineage: Eukaryota; Viridiplantae; Streptophyta; Magnoliopsida; Malvales; Malvaceae.